Molecule: ribosomal RNA, 424 nt
Filed under: uncultured bacterium
Lineage: Bacteria
Description: partial 16S ribosomal RNA
Rfam family: Bacterial small subunit ribosomal RNA
Source: RNAcentral
GUGGGGAAUCUUGCGCAAUGGGCGAAAGCCUGACGCAGCCAUGCCGCGUGAAUGAUGAAGGUCUUAGGAUUGUAAAAUUCUUUCACCGGGGACGAUAUGACGGUACCCGGAGAAGAAGCCCCGGCUAACUUCGUGCCAGCAGCCGCGGUAAUACGAAGGGGGCUAGCGUUGCUCGGAAUUACUGGGCGUAAAGGGCGCGUAGGCGGACAGUUUAGUCAGAGGUGAAAGCCCAGGGCUCAACCUUGGAAUUGCCUUUGAUACUGGCUAUCUUGAGUAUGGAAGAGGUAUGUGGAACUCCGAGUGUAGAGGUGAAAUUCGUAGAUAUUCGGAAGAACACCAGUGGCGAAGGCGACAUACUGGUCCAUUACUGACGCUGAGGCUCGAAAGCGUGGGGAGCAAACAGGAUUAGAAACCCCUGUAGUCC